This 253-nucleotide ribosomal RNA is filed under the name uncultured bacterium. Its description in RNAcentral is "partial 16S ribosomal RNA". It matches the Rfam family "Bacterial small subunit ribosomal RNA", at positions 524 to 776 of the family's 1533-position model. The record is from RNAcentral.
GACGUAGGGCGCGAGCGUUGUCCGGAUUUAUUGGGCGUAAAGAGCUCGUAGGCGGCUCGUUGCGUCGGCUGUGAAAACCCGCAGCUCAACUGUGGGCUUGCAGCUGAUACGGGCGGGCUGGGGUUCGGUAGGGGAGACUGGAAUUCCUGGUGUAGCGGUGAAAUGCGCAGAUAUCAGGAGGAACACCAAUGGCGAAGGCAGCUCGCUGGAACGGUACUGACGCUGAGGCGCGAAAGCGUGGGGAGCGAACAGG